RNAcentral lists this ribosomal RNA (253 nucleotides) under uncultured bacterium. RNAcentral describes it as "partial 16S ribosomal RNA". It matches the Rfam family "Bacterial small subunit ribosomal RNA", at positions 524 to 776 of the family's 1533-position model. The record is from RNAcentral.
UACGUAGGGUGCGAGCGUUAAUCGGAAUUACUGGGCGUAAAGCGUGCGCAGGCGGCGCCAUAAGACAGCUGUGAAAUCCCCGGGCUUAACCUGGGAACUGCGGUUGUGACUGUGGUGCUAGAGUACGGCAGAGGGAGGUGGAAUUCCUGGUGUAGCAGUGAAAUGCGUAGAGAUCAGGAGGAACACCGAUGGCGAAGGCAGCCUCCUGGGCUGAUACUGACGCUCAUGCACGAAAGCGUGGGGAGCAAACAGG